CGAAAGUUUGGACAAACCUACUCAUUCAAGGGUUUUUCUUUAUUUUUACUAUUUUCUACAUCAAAACUAGGAAAUAACACAUAUGGAAUCAUGUUAAACAAAACAAAAUAUAUUUUAUAUUUGAGAUUCUUCUUUGCCUUGAUGACAGCUAUGCACACUCUUGGCAUUUCUCAACCAGCUUCAUGAGUUAGCCACCUGGAAUGCAUUUCAAUUAACAGGUGUGCCUUGUUAAAAGUUCAUUUGUGAAAUUUCCUUCCUUCUUAAUGCGUUUGAGCCAAUACAGAAGAGAAGCCCAAUUUGAAUUGAAUAAAGAACAAGUCCUUAUUAUGGCAAGAACAACAACAAAAAAGCAAAGAGAAACAAUAAUCCAUCAUUACUUUAAGACACAAAUGGUUAGAACUUGUUCUCAACUUGCCUAACUGGUUAAAUAAAAGUUCAAUAAAAGAAUACGGAACAUUUCAAGAACUUUGAAAGUUUCUUCAAGUGCAGUUGCAAAAACCAUCAAGCUCUAUGAUGAAACUGGCUUUCAUGACUACCGGCACAGGAAAGGAACGUCUGCAGCAGAGGAUAAGUUCUUUAGAGUUACCAACCUCAGAAAUCGGCAAUUAACUGCAUCUUAGAUUGAAGCCCAAAUAAAUGCUUCAGAGUUCAACUAACAGAGACAUCUCAACAUCAACUGUUCAAAGGAGACUGUGUGAAUCAGGCUUUCAUGGUUGAAUGGCUGAAAAUAAACCACUACUAAAGGACACAAUAAGAAGAAGAGAUUUGCUUGUGCCAAGAAACACAAGCAAUAGACAUCAGACCAGUGGAAAUCUGUCCUUUGGUUUGAUGAUUCCAAACUUGAGAUUUUUGGUUCAAACCGCUGUGUCUUCGUGAGAUGCAGAAUAGGUGAAAGGGUGAUCUCCACAUGUGUGGUUCCCACCGUGAAGCAAUGAGGAGGAGGUGUGAUGGUGUGGUGGUGCAUUGCUGGUGACACUGCCUGUGAUUUAUUUAGAAUUCAAGGCACACUUAACCUGCAUAACUAACGCAGCAUUCUGCAGCGAUACGCCAUCACAUCUGGUUUGUGCUUAGUGGGACUAUCAUUUGUUUUUCAACAGAACAAUGACCCAACACACUUCGAGUCUGUGUAAGGGCUAUUUGACCAAGACGGAGUGUGUUUGAGUGCUGCAUCAGAUGACCUGGCCUCCACAAUCACCCGACCUCAACAAAAUUGAGAUGAUUUGGGAUGAGUUGGACCACAGAGUGAAGGAAAAACAGCUAACAAGUGCUCAGCAUAUGUGGGAACACCUCCAAGACUGUUGGAAAAUCAUUUCAUUCCAGGGCAUUCCAAAGCUAGUUGACAGAAUACCAAAAGUGUGCAAAGCUGUCAUUAAUGCAAAGGGUGGCUACUUUGAAAAAUCUAAAAUCUAUUUAUUGGUUACAACAUGAUUCCAAAUGUGUUAUUUCAUAGUUUUGACGUCUUCACUAUUAUUCUAAAAUGUAGAUAUUUGCAAGAACAAAGAAAAACACUUGAAUGUGUAGGUGUGUCCAAACUAUUACAAGUUCUGUAUAUAUAGAGUUGAAGUCAGAAGUUUACACACACUUAGGUUGGAGUCUUAAAAAUCGUUUUGGUCCACUCCACAAACUAUAGUCUUGGCAAGUCGGUUAGGACAUCUACUUUGAGCAUGACACAAGUAAUUUUUCCAACAAUUGUUUACAGACAGAUUAUUUCACUUAUAAUUCACAGUAUCAUAAUUUUAGUGGGUCAGAAGUUUACAUACACUAAAUUGACUGUGCCUUUAAACAGCUUGGAAAAUUCCAGAAAAAUAUGUCAUGGCUUUAGAAGAUAGUCUAAUUGACAUAAUUUGAGUCAAUUGGAGGUGUACCUGUGGAUGUAAUUCAACGACUACCUUCAAACUCAGUGCCUCUUUGCUUGACAUCAUGUGAAAAUCAAAAGAAAUCAGCCAAGACCUCAGAAGAAAUGGUAGACCUCCACAAGUCUGGUUCAUCCUUGUGGGGGCAAUAACCAAACGCCUGAAGGUCCACGUUCAUCUGCACAAACAAUAGUACGCAAGUAUAAACACCAUGGGACCACGCAGCCUUCAUAUACCGUUCAGGAAGGAGACGUGUUCUGGUGUGAAAAGUGCAAAACAAUCCCAGAACAACAGCAAAGGACCUUGUGAAGAUGCUGGAGGAAACAGGUAGAAAAUUAUCUAUAUUCACAGUAAAACGAGCCCAUAUAUCGACAUAACCUGAAAGGCCGCUCAGCUCAGCAAGGAAGAAGCCAGUGCUCCAAAACCACCAUAAAAAAGCAAGACUACGGUUUGCAACUGAACAUGGGGACAAAGAUCGUACUUUUUGGAGAAAUGUCCUCUGGUCUGAUGAAACAAAAAUAGAAGUGUGUUUGGCCAUAAUGACUAUCUUUAUGUUUGGAGGAAAAGGGGGGAGGAUUUUAAGCCCGAAGAAUACCAUCCCAACCGUGAAGCACAGGGGUGGCAGCAUCAUAUUGUGGGGGUGCUUUGCUGCAUUUGUUCUUGACUGACUUGCCUAGUUAAAUAAAGGUUUUUAAAAAGUCAGGAAGUUAAAGCUUGUUCGCAAAUGGGUCCUCCAAAUGGAUAAUGACCCCAAGCAUACCUCCAAAGUUGUGGCAAAAUGGCUUAAGGACAACAAAGUCAAGGUAUUGGAGUGGCCAUCACAAAACACUGACCUCAAUCCUAUAGAAAAUUUGUGGGCAGAACUGAAAAAGUGUGUGCGAGCAGGGAGACCUACAAACCUAACUCAGUUACACCAGCUCUGUCAGGAGGAAUGGGCCACCCGAAACGUUUGACCUAAGUUACACAUUUUAAAGGCAAUGCUAUACUAAUUGAGUGUAUGUAAUCUUCAGACCCACUGGGAAUGUGAUGAAUGAAAUUAAAGCUAAAAUAAAUAAUUCUCUAAUAUUGUUCUGACAUUUCACAUUCUUAAAAUAAAGUGGUGAUCCUAACUGACCUAAAACAGGGAAUUUUUACUCUGAUUAAAUGUCAAGAAUUGUGAAAACCUGAGUUUAAAUGUAUUUGGCUAAGGUGUAUGUAUAUUUCAGACUUCAACUAUAUAUAUACUCCGUUCAAAAGUUUGGCGUCAUUUAGAAAUGUCCUUGUUUUUCUUGAUAAGUACUUUUUUGUCUUUUUUUGUAAAGGUUUUGUCCUUCAAAUAACAUUAACUUGAUCAGGAAUACAGUAUAGACAUUGUUAAUGUUGUAAAUGACUAUUGUAGCUGGAAACGGCUGUUUUUUUGAUGAAAUAUCUAUGUAGGCGUACAGAGGCCCAUUAUCAGCAACCAUUACUCCUGUGUUCCAAUUGCACGUUGUGUUAACUAAUCCAAGUUGAUCAUUUUAAAAGGCUAAUUUAUCAUUAGAAAACCCUUUUGCAAUUAUAUUAGAACAGCUGAAAACUGUUGUUCUGAUUAAAGAUACAAAAUAAAACUGGCCUUCUUUAGACUAGCUGAGUAUCUGGAGCAUCAGCAUUUGCGGGUUCAAUUUACAGGCUCAAAAUGGCCAGAAACAAAGCCCUUUAUUCUGAAACUGAUAAUGGGCCUCUGUACGCCUAUGUAGAUAUUCCGUGAGAAAUCGGACGUUUCCAGCUCCAAUAGUCAUUUACAACAUGAACAAUGUCUACACUGUAUUUCUGAUCAAUUUGAUGUUAUUUCAAUGGACCAAAAAAUUGCUUUUCUUUCAAAAACAAGGACAUUUCUAAGUGACCAAAAUACUUUUGAACGGUAGUGUGUAUAUAUAUAUAUAUAAAUAUAUAUGUAUGUACAAAUGUAUAAACUGUAUAUAAACAGAGUUGUUCGUCGAUUGCACAGCACAGUAUUUCUUUUUGUCUAACAUUUGAAUAAAUGGAUAUUCUGCCA
Oncorhynchus tshawytscha (Chinook salmon) is the source of this 3867-nucleotide long non-coding RNA. Lineage: Eukaryota; Metazoa; Chordata; Actinopteri; Salmoniformes; Salmonidae. The record is from Ensembl.